GUGAUCCGGUGGUUCUGAAUGGAAGGGCCAUCGCUCAACGGAUAAAAGGUACUCCGGGGAUAACAGGCUGAUACCGCCCAAGAGUUCAUAUCGACGGCGGUGUUUGGCACCUCGAUGUCGGCUCAUCACAUCCUGGGGCUGAAGUAGGUCCCAAGGGUAUGGCUGUUCGCCAUUUAAAGUGGUACGCGAGCUGGGUUUAGAACGUCGUGAGACAGUUCGGUCCCUAUCUGCCGUGGGCGCUGGAGAAUUGAGGGGGGCUGCUCCUAGUACGAGAGGACCGGAGUGGACGCAUCACUGGUGUUCGGGUUGUCAUGCCAAUGGCACUGCCCGGUAGCUAAAUGCGGAAGAGAUAAGUGCUGAAAGCAUCUAAGCACGAAACUUGCCCCGAGAUGAGUUCUCCCUGAGACUU
This 409-nucleotide ribosomal RNA is filed under the name Klebsiella pneumoniae. RNAcentral describes it as "partial 23S ribosomal RNA". It matches the Rfam family "Bacterial large subunit ribosomal RNA", at positions 2415 to 2823 of the family's 2925-position model. Lineage: Bacteria; Pseudomonadati; Pseudomonadota; Gammaproteobacteria; Enterobacterales; Enterobacteriaceae. The record is from RNAcentral.